Tachysurus fulvidraco (yellow catfish) is the source of this 456-nucleotide long non-coding RNA. RefSeq lists it as uncharacterized. The record is from RefSeq and is a predicted model, not a curated record. NCBI's taxonomy places the organism in Eukaryota, Metazoa, Chordata, Actinopteri, Siluriformes, Bagridae. The transcript is spliced from 3 exons.
CACACACACACACACACACACACGCGCGCUCUGUCACAAGGUGUGGUGCUGGUUUGUAUAUCAUUGAUGAUAUCAUUGACUGCCUAAAAUAAAUUAGUACAAAUAUAUUUGUACUAAAAACAUGAAUUUUGCAGUUUGUAGAACAGUAUAUGUUAAAGGGCGGUGUUUAAGAUGUGAAGACAAGUGAAAGUGCUGUAUCUUUGGCUAGAGUGGAGAUUGUAUGUGCACUGCUGAAAUAUUAAGCAUUUGGCCGACGCUUCACAUACAGUUGAUCAGGUUGUGGAUUUUGGCCUGUGGAAUGUUGGUCCACUCCUCUUCAAUAGCUGUGUGAAGUGGCUGGAUAUUGGCAGGCUGCUUGACUGACAAAAGAGAACUGACCGGGACACUUUGCUGCAAUGAGUGGAGCUUCCCCAGUGCGCAAAGCCUUCACUGCCAAACCCAACAGGGCUUCCAACA